RNAcentral lists this transfer RNA (72 nucleotides) under Loxodonta africana (African savanna elephant). It matches the Rfam family "tRNA". Rfam says of the family: Transfer RNA (tRNA) molecules are approximately 80 nucleotides in length. Lineage: Eukaryota; Metazoa; Chordata; Mammalia; Proboscidea; Elephantidae. The record is from Rfam by way of RNAcentral.
GGGGGUAUAGCUCACAGGUAGAACCUUUGACAUCAGAUCAAGAGAUCCCCAGUUCAAAUCUGUGUGCCCCCU